This 520-nucleotide unclassified non-coding RNA is filed under the name uncultured Glomus. RNAcentral describes it as "SSU rRNA". It matches the Rfam family "Eukaryotic small subunit ribosomal RNA", at positions 569 to 1092 of the family's 1831-position model. Lineage: Eukaryota; Fungi; Glomeromycota; Glomeromycetes; Glomerales; Glomeraceae. The record is from RNAcentral.
AGCAGCCGCGGUAAUUCCAGCUCCAAUAGCGUAUAUUAAAGUUGUUGCAGUUAAAAAGCUCGUAGUUGAAUUUCGGGAUCAAUAUAUCGGUCGUGCCUUGGUACGUACUGGUAUCAUUGGUUUCUCCUUUCUGACGAACCAUGAUGUCAUUAAUUUGGUGUUAUGGGAAGUUAGGACUGUUACUUUGAAAAAUUAGAGUGUUUAAAGCAGGCUUUGGCUUGAAUACAUUAGCAUGGAAUAAUGAAAUAGGACGUUCGAACCUAUUUUGUGGUUUCUAGGAUCAACGUAAUGAUUAAUAGGGAUAGUUGGGGGCAUUAGUAUUCAAUUGUCAGAGGUGAAAUUCUUGGAUUUAUUGAAGACUAACUACUGCGAAAGCAUUUGCCAAGGAUGUUUUCAUUAAUCAAGAACGAAAGUUAGGGGAUCGAAGACGAUCAGAUACCGUCGUAGUCUUAACCAUAAACUAUGCCGACUAGGGAUCGGAUGAUGUUAAUUUUUUAAUGUACUCAUUCGGCGCCUUACG